This 211-nucleotide ribosomal RNA is filed under the name Clostridioides difficile. RNAcentral describes it as "partial 23S ribosomal RNA". It matches the Rfam family "Bacterial large subunit ribosomal RNA", at positions 662 to 872 of the family's 2925-position model. Lineage: Bacteria; Bacillati; Bacillota; Clostridia; Peptostreptococcales; Peptostreptococcaceae. The record is from RNAcentral.
GGAGCCGUAGCGAAAGCGAGUUUUAACUGAGCGUUCCGUUACUUGACGUAGACCCGAAACCUGACGACCUACCCAUGAGCAGGAUGAAGCGAAAGUAAAAUUUCGUGGAGGUCCGAACCCACGAGCGUUGAAAAGCUCGGGGAUGACUUGUGGGUAGCGGUGAAAUUCCAAUCGAGCCCGGAGAUAGCUGGUUCUCCCCGAAAUAGCUUUA